AGCGAACGCUGGCGGCAGGCUUAACACAUGCAAGUCGAGCGGGCACUUCGGUGUCAGCGGCAGACGGGUGAGUAACACGUGGGAACGUUCCCUUUGGUUCGGAAUAACGCUGGGAAACUAGCGCUAAUACCGGAUACGCCCUUUUGGGGAAAGGCUUGCUGCCGAAGGAUCGGCCCGCGUCUGAUUAGCUAGUUGGUGGGGUAAUGGCCUACCAAGGCGACGAUCAGUAGCUGGUCUGAGAGGAUGAUCAGCCACACUGGGACUGAGACACGGCCCAGACUCCUACGGGAGGCAGCAGUGGGGAAUAUUGGACAAUGGGCGCAAGCCUGAUCCAGCCAUGCCGCGUGAGUGAUGAAGGCCUUAGGGUUGUAAAGCUCUUUUGUCCGGGACGAUAAUGACGGUACCGGAAGAAUAAGCCCCGGCUAACUUCGUG
Molecule: ribosomal RNA, 433 nt
Filed under: uncultured bacterium
Lineage: Bacteria
Description: partial 16S ribosomal RNA
Rfam family: Bacterial small subunit ribosomal RNA
Source: RNAcentral